This 213-nucleotide long non-coding RNA is filed under the name Gossypium raimondii (Peruvian cotton). RNAcentral's name for it is "long non-coding RNA (GRAI_LNC004904)". Lineage: Eukaryota; Viridiplantae; Streptophyta; Magnoliopsida; Malvales; Malvaceae. The record is from RNAcentral.
CCUUGUAGUCUUUGCUCUAUUCCCGUUACACGACAAUGAGCAAAGAGGGGCAGCUGUAAUAAGGCCCAAUCGGCUUGGGUCCAAACUAAACAAAAACAUGUCAGACCCAACAAAACUAACCUAAGCCCAAUACAGACCUCAACCCAAAACUAAAAAACAAAAAAGAAAACCCUAGCAGCAGGUAGCGCUGCAGCCCCCGCCUCCAGCAAAGCC